UACGUAGGGUGCAAGCGUUGUCCGGAAUUAUUGGGCGUAAAGCGCUCGUAGGCGGUUUUUCGCGUCUGCUGUGAAAACUCGGGGCUUAACCCCGGGCCUGCAGUGGGUACGGGCAGACUAGAGUGCGGUAGGGGAGACUGGAAUUCCUGGUGUAGCGGUGAAAUGCGCAGAUAUCAGGAGGAACACCGGUGGCGAAGGCGGGUCUCUGGGCCGUAACUGACGCUGAGGAGCGAAAGCAUGGGGAGCGAACAGG
This 253-nucleotide ribosomal RNA is filed under the name uncultured bacterium. RNAcentral's name for it is "partial 16S ribosomal RNA". It matches the Rfam family "Bacterial small subunit ribosomal RNA", at positions 524 to 776 of the family's 1533-position model. The record is from RNAcentral.